CAGGGUUUAAAAUUUCGGCGGUAAACCGGCGAAAUUUCGGUGAAAAUUUCGUUUUCGGUAGUUACCGGUAUUUGGUUUACCGCUGUUUUUCGAGACUAUGCAUUUGCUACAUGGAUUAUGGAUGCACAAUACUUUCCAUUACAAUGGAUGCAAUAUGUUGUAUUAAACGGACUACAGACUUAAUUGUAAUAAUUUUAGUAGACUUUGCACUUGUGACUAAGUACGGGUGAACUUUAGACAUGAAUUAUGUGUUUCGUGUUUGUAUUUCUCAUUGUGUGCUGAAAUUUAUUAUAUGUUGUGUAUUAUAAUCUAUCAAUAUAGACAUAAUUAGGGCAAA
Molecule: long non-coding RNA, 337 nt
Organism: Panicum virgatum (switchgrass)
Lineage: Eukaryota; Viridiplantae; Streptophyta; Magnoliopsida; Poales; Poaceae
Exons: 2
Source: RefSeq, a predicted model, not a curated record